This 471-nucleotide ribosomal RNA is filed under the name uncultured bacterium. RNAcentral describes it as "bacterial SSU rRNA". It matches the Rfam family "Bacterial small subunit ribosomal RNA", at positions 106 to 600 of the family's 1533-position model. The record is from RNAcentral.
GUGAGUAACACGUGGGUUAUCUACCUUUGAGUGAGGAAUACCGGCGAGAAAUCGCUGACAAUUCCGCAUGUGCUUGCUUUUACGAGCAAGUAAAGCCGAAAGGUGCUCGAAGAUGAGCUCGCGGCCGAUUAGCUAGUUGGUGGGGUAAAAGCCUACCAAGGCGACGAUCGGUAGCUGGUCUGAGAGGACGAGCAGCCACACUGGGAUUGAGAACGGCCCAGACUCCUACGGGAGGCAGCAGUGAGGAAUUUUCCGCAAUGGACGCAAGUCUGACGGAGCAACGCCGCGUGCAGGAAGACGGCCUUCGGGUUGUAAACUGCUUUUCUCUAGGAAGAGAACGGACGGUACUAGAGGAAGAAGUCCCCGGCUAACUACGUGCCAGCAGCCGCGGUAAUACGUAGGGGGCAAGCGUUGUCCGGAUUUAUUGGGCGUAAAGCGCAUGCAGGCGGUCGUGUAAGUGGAAGGUGACAC